AUGACGCUAGCGGCAGGCUUAACACAUGCAAGUCGAGGGGUAGAGUUCUUCGGAACUUGAGACCGGCGCACGGGUGCGUAACGCGUAUGCAAUCUACCUUUUACAGAGGGAUAGCCCAGAGAAAUUUGGAUUAAUACCUCAUAGUAUAGCUGUACCGCAUGGUACUACUAUUAAAGUCACAACGGUAAAAGAUGAGCAUGCGUCCCAUUAGCUAGUUGGUAAGGUAACGGCUUACCAAGGCUACAUGGGUAGGGGUCCUGAGAGGGAGAUCCCCCACACUGGUACUGAGACACGGACCAGACUCCUACGGGAGGCAGCAGUGAGGAAUAUUGGACAAUGGGCGCAAGCCUGAUCCAGCCAUGCCGCGUGCAGGAUGACGGUCCUAUGGAUUGUAAACUGCUUUUAUACGAGAAGAAACACUACUUCGUGAAGUAGCUUGACGGUAUCGUAAGAAUAAGGAUCGGCUAACUCCGUGCCAGCAGCCGCGGUAAUACGGAGGAUCCAAGCGUUAUCCGGAAUCAUUGGGUUUAAAGGGUCCGUAGGCGGUUUAGUAAGUCAGUGGUGAAAGCCCAUCGCUCAACGGUGGAACGGCCAUUGAUACUGCUAAACUUGAAUUAUUAGGAAGUAACUAGAAUAUGUAGUGUAGCGGUGAAAUGCUUAGAGAUUACAUGGAAUACCAAUUGCGAAGGCAGGUUACUACUAAUGGAUUGACGCUGAUGGACGAAAGCGUGGGU
This 734-nucleotide ribosomal RNA is filed under the name Flavobacterium sp. PU1-3/8. Its description in RNAcentral is "bacterial SSU rRNA". It matches the Rfam family "Bacterial small subunit ribosomal RNA", at positions 29 to 766 of the family's 1533-position model. The record is from RNAcentral. Lineage: Bacteria; Pseudomonadati; Bacteroidota; Flavobacteriia; Flavobacteriales; Flavobacteriaceae.